GAACUGUGUCAUCUUGGAAGCGUGUGUCAACAGAAUUCUAUCCAACCACCAGCCGGUGACAUUGCCAGAAUUAAAACUGCAUUGGGCCAUUCACAGGAACCUCCUUAUUUAUGGACCACCGGUGGGAGGCGCUGUAUUUAAUUGUUGGAGUCAAUGAUCUCGAGGUCCAACCGUGACAACAUCUAGAUACCUGCAGCAGCCGUCCUACUGACUUAAACAUUAAUAGCCGACAAAUUGAACUGUGUCAUCUUGGAAGCGUGUGUCAACAGAACUCUAUCCAACCACCAGCCGGUGACAUUGCCAGAAUUAAAACUGCAUUGGGCCAUUCACAGGAACCUCCUUAUUUAUGGACCACCGGUGGGAGGCGCUGUAUUUAAUUGUUGGAGUCAAUGAUCUCGAGGUCCAACCGUGACAACAUCUAGAUACCUGCAGCAGCCGUCCUACUGACUUAAACAUUAA
This is a long non-coding RNA of Mya arenaria, 459 nucleotides long. RefSeq lists it as uncharacterized. The record is from RefSeq and is a predicted model, not a curated record. The transcript has 4 exons. NCBI's taxonomy places the organism in Eukaryota, Metazoa, Mollusca, Bivalvia, Myida, Myidae.